Molecule: long non-coding RNA, 8263 nt
Filed under: Populus tremula
Lineage: Eukaryota; Viridiplantae; Streptophyta; Magnoliopsida; Malpighiales; Salicaceae
Description: long non-coding RNA (PTRE_LNC001711)
Source: RNAcentral
AUAACAUGGCAGGAGAUCCCGAACAAAUACAGAAACAAGUACUUGAGAAAUAUGCAGAAAAGUUUCCUUCAUCAUACCUAGACGUGGUCCGGCAAGCUGAUCUUUCAACGUUAACAUGGGCAUCGUUGAAGUUUAGGCAGCCAUGGGGGAUCAUAUUUGGAAAGCUAAGCAAAGGAAAUGUGACGGUAGCUGGUGAUGCUAUGCACCCCAUGACUCCUGACCUAGGACAAGGCGGUGGUUCAUCACUAGAAGACGCUGUGGUAUUGGGCAGACACAUUGGCAAUUCAGUUAAAAACAAUGGAGGGCUGAUUGUUCCAGGAGACAUGGCUAAAGCCAUAGAUGAUUAUGUGAAGGAAAGGAGGUGGCGUGCUGCUUUUCUUGUCACAGGAUCAUAGUUAGCAGGAUGGGUGCAGCUCGGUGGAGAUAAAUGGUGGGUGAAAUUCUUAAGGGAUGGAAUAUUUUACAAGUAUCUUUUUGGCAGGAUCUCUGGACUUGUGCAUAAAGAUUGUGGCAAACUUCCUGCUAUGUCCUUCGGUGAUAUGGAUCACUCAAGUAAGAAGGACUAGAUUCAAUUUUGGCAUAUAGAUUCUGCAGAUGAGUGGUUUCAGACAAUGGCUCACAAUUACUAGUUAACGAGUCUUUUUUAUAUUAUUUGAUUACUGUCUCGAGAUUAAAAAAACAAAAAACAUGUCUUCCUGUGCUCUGUAAUUUAUAAUUUGGGUAAUAAAAAAUACUUUUUGUCUAAAGAUACUACCAGAAAUUCGCUUAAUAGCAAUGGAAUCACCGACGAAAUAUUUAUGUCGGUAAUUACCGACCGAAUUACGGACGGAAAGUUCGGAAUUAAGAAAAAAAGGGUGGGUCGCUAACGUGGAGGUUUUGGCAGGUGAUAUUUCCGACAGAAUCACCGACGGAUUCAAAACGAGUGACCUGUACGGGUGACGGGACCGGUUCACAGUCAAAAAUACAGACGGAAUCACCGACGGAUUUGAAAUGGCAGACCCGUACGGGUGACGUUACCUAUUCACCGUCAACAAUACCAACGGAAUCACCGAGGGAUUUGAAAAGCAGGUUUGUGCGGUGACGUGUCUAUUUUCCCGUCAGAAUAGCCGGCGGAUACACCGACGGAUUAACCCCGUCGGUGAAUCCGUUGGAAAAAGUUAAUAUAUGGCCCCUGCCAACCCUCUCCUCCCCCAUUUCUCCUUCUUCUUCAUAAUCCUAACUCUCCCCAUCUGCAAAUAAUCAGCCCCCCCUCGGACCCAAACAAAAUUCUUCCUCAUCUCAGCACAAAAAGUUGUAUUUCUUGAAGUUUUAUGGUCACAACAUCCGUGUUCUGAUUUACCGACAGAUUUUAUCAAUUUUUGUAAGUAAUUCUAUUUGUUUAAAUUUUAACAUUUAAAUGUCAAUUUUAUUGUUUUUUUAGUAUAUGUAUUUUUGUUAGUAGAUGUACGUGUUUUAUUAUUAUUUCUCAAACAAACUUGUAGUAUAUGAAAGUAUACUUUUAUACCUGUUAUGGUUUGUUUUAGAUUUUGUAAGAUUGCAUUUGUUUGUAAAUUGUUAAAACUUUCUGGAAUUACCGAAUUACAUGUUCUGUUUUGAAAUAAUUAAUAGCUUACUUAAUGGGUCCUUUUUAAGUUUUAUCGAUGGUAUUGCAGAGUGGUAAUUUUUGUUAAUUUAUAUAUAUUAAUUUGUAUGGACGUUGAUAAAUGAUAAUGAAUAUUUAAUAUUUAUGAGAAGUUGUGAUUGGUUUGAUGGAUAAUCUCGAGGUAAAGUUAUAUUUUUGCAAGUUUAUUUACCUAACUUAGUUAAUUAAUACAUGAUGUCAUCAUAAUUUUAUAGAGGUUCGAUAGAAGUCAUGGAUGAUCGUUCAUGGAUGUAUCUAGAUUCACCCCAAGGAUUGCGGAGGAUGGAUUAUUGUAAUGGGGUUCAGGGUUUUAUUAAUUUCGCAACAUCUAUUCCCAUAAAUUUUACUGGAAGCGGUAUUAGGUGUCCAUGCAAGAAAUGUCAAAAUAAAAGGUAUCUGCAUCCAGAUGUUGUAAUGAUGCAUCUUCUACACAAAGGGUUUAUGGAGGAUUAUCAGUGUUGGUAUGCACAUGGAGAGGUAUUUGUUAGUAAUAGGAGAAUGGGAGAAACGGUGGUUGGGUCAACUUCUAGUGCUAGCAACGUGCAUGAAGCGACAAAUAACAACACUAAUCCUUACAGAAAUAUGGUUAUGGAUGCAAUGAGAAUGAAUCAAGGUAAUGUCAGUCAAUGUCCAAUCAUAGAAGAAGAACCUAAUACAGAGGCAGCUAGGUUUUUUGAUUUGUUGAGAGAUUUUGACGAACCAUUAUGGGAUGGCUGCACAAACCACAGUAAAUUGUCAGUCGUGGCACAGGUGUUCACCAUCAAGUCAGAUCGCGGGUUGAGUGAGGUCGGGUAUGACAAAAUUAUUGAUUGGGCAAGAAGCAUUUUACCUGAAGGGAACAGGCUGAAAGAGAACUUCUAUGCUGCGAAGUCCAUGAUGAAACCCCUCGGUUUAGGAUACCAGAAAAUUGACAUGGGAAACUCGCAUGUCCAUACUGCAUGGAAAACAACAAAGCAUUCACGCUAGCAAACAGAGGUAAAGCUUCUGUUUUUGACUGUCACCGUCGCUUCUUGCCACUUAAUCACAGGUUCAGAUAGAACAGAAAAGAUUUCUUUGUUGGUAGAGUUGAAAAAGAUGUUGCAUCCCCGCGUCUUUUUGGUGAAGAAUUGCAUCAUGUUGUAUCAGAGUACGAUGACAUUGAGUUUGGCCUUCAAUCAGGUAAGCAAAAGUUUCAUGGUUUUGGUUUGACCCAUAAUUGGGUAAAGCGAAGUAUCUUUUGGGAGCUUCCUUAUUAGAAGACCAAUCUUCUCCGCCAUAACCUUGACGUCAUGCACAUCGAAAAGAACGUGUUUGAGAAUAUUUUCAACACCGUCAUGGAUGUGAAGGGGAAGACAAUGGACAACAUCAAGGCUAGAUUGGAUAUAGCUUUAUACUGUAACCGUAAAAAUAUAGAGUUGGUUUAUGAGGAGUCACGGGUCGCAAAACCAAGGGCAAGCUUCGUGUUAGAGAAAAACGCACAACUGUUAGUCUACAAAUGGCUUAAGAGUCUGCGUUUUCUGGAUGGACAUGCAUCGAACAUAUCAAGGCUUGUUAACAUAGAGGACUGCAGAUUGUAUGGAAUGAAGAGUCAUGACUGCCACGUGUUUAUGCAAACACUCAUCCCAUUAGCUUUUCGUGAUUUGUUGCCAAAGGGAAUAUGGGAUACACUGACAGAGAUCAGUCAUUUCUUCAGAGAUAUAUGCUCCAGCAAGUUGAAUGUUGAGCACAUUGAGAGGCUUCAAACGAAUAUCAUCGAGACACUAUGCAAACUUGAGAUGAUAUUCCCUCCUUCAUUUUUUGACUCAAUGGAGCAUCUCCCUAUAAAUCUACCGUUCGAGGCAAAAGCUGGAGGACCGGUCAGUAUAGAUGGAUGUACCCAUUCAAACGGUUAGAUAUUAUAGUUGCAAUGAAAUUCAUAUCUAAAAGUAUUUUAUAUGUUUUUCUUAAUUGGAAAUACUUGAAUUGUAAUUCAAUGCAGGCACUUGUUUAAUCUCAAGAAAAAGGUUAAGAACAAGGAAAAUGUAGAGGCUUCGAUAUCUGAGGCCUAUAUUGUUGAAGAGAUCUCAAUAUUUAUCUCAUACUAUUUUGAACCUCAUCUAAGAACAAGAAUCAAUCGCGUUCCACGGCAUGAUGAUGGCGGUGAAGUGCCUUCCAGUGGGAACUUGUCAAUAUUCUCCAAUACUGGACGACCCACACCUAAAAAUGUCGUAAGAGGAAGAUAUUUGUCGAAAAUAGAAUUCAAACAAGCACACAACUAUGUUCUAUUUAACUGUGAUGAGCUGAGACCAUUUAUUCAGUAAGUUUAUAUAUGUGUAAUACUAAUUAAACUUUAUCAGUAAUAUACUGCUAAUUAUAUAUUGUGAUAUCAUACACUCAUUAUCACUUGCAGGCAACAUCGACAAUAUUUGCUCUCCAAUAACUCGCAGCAGACCGACUCCCAGAUCUUUCAAUUACAAGAUAAACAAUUUGCCACAUGGUUCAGAACACAUGUAAGCACUAUCACAAACUCAUUCUAACUUGUAAAUUACUGUACGUAUGCAUGUCAUUAUGAGAUUCUCGUUCAUUUACCAUUUAUUGAUGUACAUUACAUGUAUACAAGGUUUAUCAAAUGGGAAGGAGUGCGUCUAAGUCAUUGUCUUCACUAAGCCUCGGGCCUGAAAGAAAAGUUAAGUGCUACAACAGGUAUUUUGUCAAUGGAUAUGUUUUCCAUACUGAAGAAUACGGGCAAGGAAGAAAAACAUACAACUGCGGUGUUUGUGUUAAUAGAUCCAUAAGUAGUGAGUUAGAAGUUGACUACUAUGGUAAAUUAAAAGAGGUCGUCGAACUACAAUAUCAUAGCGAGCAGAAUAAAGUGUUUUUAUUCAAAUGCUAUUGGUAUGACACGACGGACAGAGGAAUCAGAGUUGAUACGCACCAUAGUCUAGUCGAAAUCAACUCAAAAGAUAGACUCCGCAACAUAAACGAUGUUUUUGUUUUCGCAAUAUAAUAAUAGUUUAAGCUGUUAGAUGAUAUCCCAUAAUAUGAUUUAUAUUAUUUUCUAAUAGGUUAAAGCUGCUUUUCUUAAAAUUUUAAUUUUUUUUGUUUAAAAUUAAUUUUUUUUUUCAGAUUAUUUUGAUGUAUCAAUAUUAAAAAUAAUUUUUUAAAAAUAAAAAUAAAAUUAUUUUAAUAUAUUUUUAAAUAAAACAUUAAACCAUAAAUAUUAUUAUAUUCUCAAACAUCUCGUAAAAUUUCAAUACAUUAAACGAGAAAAGAUGUCGUUAAGUUUUGUCUUCUUUAAAUAAUGCAUGUUCACUUUUAAUUAGGUGUCAAACUCAGCUUAGGUAAUAAUAUUGAGAAAUGCUUGGGUUGUUAGAUUAUUACGUCAAUAUAUAAGUCAUCAAAACAUCUAUAUUUAUUAAAACAGUAGUUUUUUCUCACAAUAUAUUGGUUUGAUUAAUUUAAAUCAGGUUUAAUUAGAUUAAUAGAGUAAUUAAAAUCCUAAUUCGAUCAAUGAAUUUGAUCAUGUCAUUAUUUUAUAUCUAGUUAAAUUUUAAUUUGACCGAAUAAAAAAAAUAAUUAAAUUAAUAUUUUAUUUAAUACAAUUAAAAAUUUAAUAUAGGUUACGUUUCAUCUUAUUUAUGAAAUCAAUCAAUCAUGUUGCCUCAAUUUAAUAAUUAUGAUUUAAUUUGAUAUCAUAUAUUUGAAAUUUUUUCAAAAUAAAACAUGAAAUGAUUGCUUAAGUUUAAGGCUUAAUCAGUUCUUUAUUACUUUAAUUUGUAUGUGCUGUAUGCUUUUGAUGUUUCUUCCUAGAAUAAAACUGCUCUGGCUUCGCUAAUCAGUUUUGACCUUAUCAAUUUAAGUUUUAAGUUUUUUUACAAGAAUCUUAGUCACAAUCUUGUAAUUGACAUUGCAAAGGCCAAUCAGUGUGUGAUUUUAUCAACAACAUUUUUAAUGACAAGUCUGAAGUAGAUGAAGUGAAUCAGACUCAUUUGGUUCUCAUCCUAAAAGUAAAUUCUCCAGAAUAUCUAUAUCAAUUUAAACCAAUUGGCCUUUGCAAUGUCAAUUACAAGAUUGUGACUAGGAUUCCCGUAAAAAAACUUAAAAUAAUAAUGCUAAAAUUGAUUAGCGAAUCUCAAAGUAGUUUUAUUCUAGGAACAUCACAUAUAAUAUCAUAGUGCUCAGGAAAUUGUGCAUUCCACGAGACAGAUGAAAGAGAAAAAGGGGAUGAUGGCUAUCAAAGUGAAUAUAAAAAAGACCUAUAAUAAAUUACAGCGAGAUUUUAUUGGUGAUACUCUUAUAAAGACAAAACUGUUAAAAUAUAUAGAAUCUACUUCUAUCAAUGUUUCAUAGAAUAAUAAAUCUACUAUGGAUUUUAAAUUAUCUCGAGAUAUAAGAUAAAAUUAUUUUUAAUAUCAAUUUAUUGAAUGGAUUGAAUACUUCAAAAAAAAAAUUAAUUUUAGAUAAAAAAAAAAUGAUUUUUAAAAAAACUUCUCUUAAAAGCAUAAAACCAAGCAUGCUGCAAGGCAGCCGCCUCAUCUGCACUCUCCUCGAACGUUCUUAUCUACCCAACUCCAAAAGAUACAUGACCGAAGAGAUUGCCUUUCUUCUUUCUUUCCUUCUUUUUUUUCUUUUUAUCUUAGAUGCUGCAACUCUAGAUUAUCAAAAAUUAUUGUCCACCAAUAUUUAUUAUCCUUAUUUUAUCACGGAUUAUAAUCUUUAAUAAAAAAAAAUAUAUAGCUCUUAUAAUUACAAUAAUAAAUUUAGGAUUGCUUCCUUGAUCACAACAACAAUAACAUCUUCAAUAUAAACAUAUUGAUGAUUACUAAUUCCUUGAUUAAUUUUUAGAUUUGAAAUCGCUAUCUUAUUUAUUUAAAUGUGAUUAUAGUUUGUUUAUUUAUUUAACUAGUUCAAAAAAAAAAUUUAGUUUUAUUAACUCGCAAAUUUGCUAGAUAUCCAUGAAGAAAAACAUUAUAUUCCUUUUUUUUUUUUUAAGAUUGAUGCGGGUAUUUGGGCUAAUUUGCGUGUACCUCGACUAAUCUCACUAACUCGAAGUUAAUGGUCAUGUAACUAUCUAGUUACCCUAAACUUUGUGAGAUCCCAAACUAGUGAUCUCUAGAAAACAAAUCUAGAAUCUGACCAAUUGAUCUACAUCCCUCGUUAGUAUAUUCUUAAUUACCUGCAAGAUAAGGUAUGUAUACAAGUGGGUCGCGGUCAGACUUGGAGUCCAAGCACAUGGGGUUAUAAUAAGAACAAGACGAGGCACCCUGUAGAAGGAAACACUCAUACACGCAGAGGGAGAGAUAGAUGGAAAUGAUGGAGGAUGUGGUGAUAGUCGGAGCAGGAAUUGCAGGGUUGGCAACAGCAGUGGCUUUGAAAAGAGUAGGGGUUCGAGCCCUGGUGUUAGAGAGAUCAGAAGGGCUAAGAGCCACAGGUGCAGCCUUGACUCUAUUUCCAAAUGCUUGGCUUGCUCUUGAUGCUCUUGGUGUUUCUCACAAGCUCACCCCCAUUUAUGCUCUUACAUCGAUGUAAUAAGUUGUUCCUCUACACUAAUUCUAUUCUUUUGAUCAUGUCUGUCCAUCGUUUCUUGAAUUUGAAUAUUAUAUAUCUUCUGGGUGAUUGAUUAGUUUCCUGUGCACUUCUCUUUUCCUCUUGUAUGAUUUAGGGGAUAUGUUAGUGCUGGAGAUGUUCAACAAGUCCACGCCCGAGUGGCCAAUAAUGGGUAAACUUUUUGAAACUUAAUAAAAUAAUUUCUUGAUUAAUUUUUUAGUACAAUUUCAUGCAAGGAUCUGUACUAUGAAUGGCUGUCGGAAUCAUAAAAGAAUUUUAUAAUCGGUUCAAUAUUAUAGUUAUACUGAUGUAUAAUGGACAGACCGGAUUCCUUCAUGUUUAUGCCGACAAAACUUCACCCUCAUCAACAUCCGCUUCCUAUGACGUGCUUCUGGGUGUGAAUUAAUGCCUUGUGUUUUGUGUGAAAUAGGGGCGAUGGACAAGGAAUUAGGACAAUUCACCGCAAAGCACUGUUAGAGGCACUGGCAGAGGAAUUGCCGGUUGACUCAAUUCAAUUCUCUUCCAAGCUAGCUGUCAUUGAAAAUGAAGAGCAAGGCGGUGCUUCCAUUGUUGUUAUCCAUUUGGAAGAUGGAACUACAAUCAAAUCCAAGGUUCUGAUAGGCUGUGAUGGCGUGAACUCGGUGGUGGCACGUUGGCUAGGACUGGCAGAACCAGUCCAUUCAGGGCGGUCUGCUGUGCGAGGUUUAGCAGUUUUUUCUCAAGGCCAUGGAUUUAAGCAAGAAGUUCAUCAGUUUGUGGAUGCGGGCAAAAGAGCUGGUUUUAUUCCUCUUAAUGACAGAGAACUUUACUGGUUUUUAACCUACAACGGUUAGCACUAAACCCUUCCUUCUUUCUCGUUUUAGCUGGACACAAAUGAUCGUUCAUGUCAGAUCAUUGCAGGGAACAUUUAUUCUGAACUAAUUUUCAAUUCAGGAGAUAACAUGGUGGGAGAUCCAGAACAAAUACAGAAACAAGUACUUGAGAAAUAUGCAGAAAAGUUUCCGUCAUCAUACCUCGACGUGGUCCGGCAUGCUGAUCUUUCAACGUUAACAUGGGCAUCGUUGAAGUUUAGGCAGCCAUGGGGGAUCAUAUUUGGAAAGCUAAGCAAAGGAAAUGUGACAGUAGCUGGUGAUGCUA